GCUCCGCGGGUCCGGACGCCGCCGCAGACCCGGCCCCUCGGCAGCGCCUCCCCUCGCGACUGGGGGCUCCCGCACCACCCGGCCGCGGCCGCGGCGAGCAGCGCGGGCCCGAGCGCCUCACGCACCGCCGCUCUAGAGGCCGGGGGCCCAACUCAGGGUCCCCGAGGCUCGGCCUCCGCGCUGGGCGCUCCGGGGCGGAUCCAGUGAGAGGACUGUCGCGCUCAGGGGCGGACGGUCUGUCGCGCAUCUCUGCCCUGGCCGGAGGGGUGAAGGACGGCGCCAGGCCCAGGGUUCCAGUCACGGCGCCCCCACAGCCUCCGACCGUCAGACUUGGGGAUUCGGGGCUUCCCAAGCUCCACAGAGCGGGCCCCCGGCGCGCCGAAACCCGCGCCCCUGAGAAUCCCGGCAGGUGCACGCGCCGCGGCGAGGGGCGUGGCCAGUCGCGCGCUCCGCGUUGGCCGCUCCUCGCGGCCGGACGGUUGGAAGCGGUGCUGCCUUGAAGAGGGUGAGCGCCGAGCUGCGUGAGGACGGGGGAGAAACAGGUGAGAACCGACGGUCUCCGGCGGGAGCGCUCGUGAGGACUGAGCGCUGCGGCUCCUUGUGUGUGAAGGACGCGGCGCGCCAUCGGCGGGGAGCGUUUUCGUCGUGAUGGACAGCUCCCUAGCGCCAGCACAGCUCAUGCCACACAACCAAGAAUCAACCCCGCCUGGCCUUUCCUGACUCUGAGCUCCUUAGAGUGGGAGAUGGAUGAGGAGCCUAGUGGACCCAGAUUCAGCCACGUGGAGGGCUGGUGACAGUGCUCAACAAACUCACCCCUGCCAGGAGAAGGCCCUCCCACCCUCUCCUCAUCCCAUCCACUGGCCAGACCGCCAUCUGCAAGCAAGAAGUGAAGGAACGUGGCCCCCAGUGGGAGAAACAGCACCAGACAGGAGAGCAGAGCCACGGCUGGGGCCCGUGGGACACACGUGGGACAGCUGGUAGGGAGCUCUCAGGCUCCAGGGACCAAGCAUCGCCAGAGGAGCUGCGUGAGGACCCGCCACGAUCAUGGACAGUCCCUGAGCGGGUGAGGCGGGCAGAAGCACCCAGCUGCUGACGAUGUCUGCAGACACCUUCGGCAGGUACUGCAGGGCCCCUGCCAGCUGCUGGGUGGCCUCCUCCCACCGCAGGUCCAGCUGCUGUGCUGGGCCACCGCAUAGGGCUGGCCUGCCAAGGUGUGCCUGGGCCCUGAUGGGACUCACGCUGGGAACCAGGGUUUGAGAAGUGCUCCAUGUCACACCCACAGCCACACCCCACAGGGCCGGGCAGUGUCUCAAAUCCAGCCCUCACCCUACGUGCUGUCCAGGUUCAGCCUGUGCAGAGGGUGCGUCAGGGGCUCACAGGAAACGGGAUUCUGCUGCUGGCUGCUGAGCAGAUGAGGGAGGGGAGUGCCAGACAAGAGGCUGGGAAACUGGCAGGCACAAUGGGGAGCUCAGACGAGGCGCGGCCCUGCUGACCCCGCCAUGGUGCUUGGUGCGCUGCUAGGCGCCCUUUCCAUUCAGUGUCUCAGCUCCACCUCCCACACUUGGACAAACACAGAAGAAACCCUGGCUGCUGAGGCAAAGGGGGGCUGCAAGCAGAGGGAUGGGGUUGGGUGGGAAUCACCUGGAUCACUGCUGGACGGUCCCAGACCUGAAAAGCACAGGAAAUGCGGACAUGGGUCUCCCUCUUGGGCCCCUGAGGAACUCGGGGCCUGGUCCUGCCAUGGACUAGGCUGCAGCUAGUGGUGGUGGUGGUGUCCAGACUCUGCCCCUCCCAGCUAGAGCCAAGGGGCAGGGGGAGGAGGUGCAUGUGGGGGUGGAAGACAGGAAGAAAGCAUCCUUGGAAUCGCACCGCGAGGGCAGAGUCUAUUUAUAUUGGGCUUAAUUAACUCUGCUCCCUGCUGCCACUAACGCAGCAAUCACACUGCAGACGGCACUGAUUUGAUUGGCAAGAGGCACACCACGCGGAAUAUUAAGGAUCCAGGCCCCUAUAAAUAGGCCUAAUCCAGCCCCUCACGGGCAGACAGUGGAGAGGACAUUAAUCAGACCUAGCACUGUGUCCCAACCUAGCUCUGCUGGGCAACACAGUGGGGUCCUUGGUUACAAUAGAGGUGUGAGUGGGGUGGGCAUGAAGUGCUGUGUGACCUUAAGCAGGUAGCUUGCCUUCUCUGAAUCUCUGAUUCUUUUUUUUUUUUUUUUCCAUUCUGCAGAGGGAACUGGCACUGCUAAGGAGAGGUUGUUCUCUGGAGCUGGCACUGUGGCAUAGUAGGUUAAGCCUCCACCUGUGGCACAGGCACCUCAUAUGGAUGCCAGUUCAUGUCCCGCUGUUCCUAUUCUGAUCCAGCUUUCUGCUUAUAGCCUGGGAAAGCAGCAGAAGAUGACCCAAGCACUUGGGCCCCUGCACCCCCAUGGAAGACCUAGAAGAAGCUCCUGGCUCCUGGCUUUGAUUGGCUGAGCUGUGGCCAUUGCAGCCAUUUGGGGAGUGAAUCAGCAGAUGGAAGACCUUUCUCUGUGUCUCCCUAUCCCUGUAACUCUGCCUCUCAAAUAAAUAAAAUCUUUUUUUUUUAUUUGACAGAUAGAGUUAGUGAGAGAGAAAGAGAGAGAGAGAAAGGUCUUCCUUCCAUUGGCCUUCCUUCCAAAUGGCCGCAACAGCCGGCGCUGUGCUAAUCUGAAGCCAGGAGCCAGGUGCUUCCUCCUGGUCUCCCAUGUGGGUGCAGGGCCCCAAGCACUUGGGCCAUCCUCCACUGCCUUCCUGGGCCACAGCAGAGAGCUGGACUGGAAGAGGAGCAACCGGGACAGAAUCCGGCGCCCAUAUGGGAUGCCGGUGCAACAGGCAGAGAUUAACCAAGUGAGCCACGGCGCCAGCAAUAAAUAAAAUCUUAAAAAAAAAGUGGUUGCCUAUUAUUAUUAUUGCCAUAUUAUCACUAUUGGGAAGCUGAUAGAAUGUCCAUCCAGCGGUUCAGUUCCCCGAAUGCUGCAACACCCCCAGCUGGAGCCAAAGCCAGGUGCCUCUCACAAGAGUGGCAGGACCCAAUCACUCAAGCCAACACUUCUGCCUUCUAGGGUCUGCUUCAGCAGGAAGCUGGAGUCAGGAGUGAAGCUGGGAGCCAAACCCAGUUCUCUGACAUGGGAUGAAGGUAUUAAGUGGCAUCUUCACCACUAGAUCAAAUGCCUGCCCCUGGUAAGUUUUGUGUGUGUGUGUGUGGAAAAAAAAAAAACAAAACUUUUGAAACCCCUGAAUUUUGUUGGCAUAAUGGGCAUUUUCCUGGAACAUUUUGCAGGCCCCCUUAUACACACCACACAGUGUGUCAUGCCUACAUCCCACCCCCCCCACCCCCCGCUGCACCUGCCACUUUGCUCCUCUGACUUCUGCCCUCCUCGGGCUGGCCUGCACAGGAUCUCAGAGGACAGCCCUGGUUUCUACCUCUUCCUCCAGCAGUGCGCUCCUCCUUUGCACUCAGGCAUCAAGGACAGACAUCCUGGGUUUCCCAGACGGAAUCAGCCUUGGAUUCUCCUCCAAGCCAGAAGUCACUCCUCACCUCCUCACUUUUCUUCCUAGCAAAUAACCAACGUGGGACCAGCCAAACCCCAUCCAUUUGAAGACCCUAACCCAAGGCACCAUCGUACCCAUAUCAAGAAAUUUCCCCCCCUCCUUUGUCUUUAAGAUUUUGUUUUUAUUUAUUUGAAAGAGAGAGCCAGAAAGAGAGAGGGAGAGGGAGAGAGAGGAGAGGGAAAGGAAGAGGGUUGGGGUGGGGGGGG
Oryctolagus cuniculus (rabbit) is the source of this 3776-nucleotide non-coding RNA. NCBI's taxonomy places the organism in Eukaryota, Metazoa, Chordata, Mammalia, Lagomorpha, Leporidae. The record is from RefSeq and is a predicted model, not a curated record.